CUAGACCUGAAAUCAGUCGAGGACACCCGCUGAAUUUAAGCAUAUUAUUAAGCGGAGGAAAAGAAAAUAACUAUGAUUCCCUUAGUAACGGCGAGUGAAGAGGGAGGUGCUCAAAGUGAAAAUCGUGGUACCUCUUAUGGUACCGCGAGUUGUAGCCUCUAGAGGCGUUACCAGUGGAGGGGCAGGUCUAAGUUUCUUGGAACAGAACUUUCAGGAGAG
RNAcentral lists this ribosomal RNA (219 nucleotides) under Eimeria ellipsoidalis. Its description in RNAcentral is "partial 28S rRNA". It matches the Rfam family "Eukaryotic large subunit ribosomal RNA", at positions 1 to 212 of the family's 3401-position model. The record is from RNAcentral. Lineage: Eukaryota; Apicomplexa; Conoidasida; Eucoccidiorida; Eimeriidae.